This 254-nucleotide ribosomal RNA is filed under the name uncultured bacterium. RNAcentral describes it as "partial 16S ribosomal RNA". It matches the Rfam family "Bacterial small subunit ribosomal RNA", at positions 524 to 776 of the family's 1533-position model. The record is from RNAcentral.
UACGUAGGGUGCGAGCGUUUAAUCGGAAUUACUGGGCGUAAAGCGUGCGCAGGCGGCGCGUUAAGACAGGUGUGAAAGCCCCGAGCUUAACUUGGGAAUUGCGCUUGUGACUGGCGUGCUGGAGUGUGGCAGAGGGAGGUGGAAUUCCACGUGUAGCAGUGAAAUGCGUAGAGAUGUGGAGGAACACCGAUGGCGAAGGCAGCCUCCUGGGCCAGCACUGACGCUCAUGCACGAAAGCGUGGGGAGCAAACAGG